AAUGCGCGAAAGCGUGACGCAGCAACACCGCGUGAGGGAAGACGGCCUUAGGGUUGUAAACCUCUUUCAGAUGGGACGAAGGUUGUCCGGUGAAUAGCCGAGAUGAUUGACGGUACCGUCAGAAGAAGCUCCGGCUAACUACGUGCCAGCAGCCGCGGUAAUACGUAGGGAGCGAGCGUUGUCCGGAAUCAUUGGGCGUAAAGAGCACGUAGGUGGAUCAAUUAGUCUGCUGUGAAAGUCGAAGGCUCAACCUUCGAAAGCCGGUGGAUACUGUUGAUCUAGAGUACGGAAGAGGCGAGUGGAAUUCCUGGUGUAGCGGUGGAAUGCGCAGAUAUCAGGAGGAACACCAAUAGCGAAGGCAGCUCGCUGGGACGUAACUGACACUGAGGUGCGAAAGCGUGGGGAGCAAA
RNAcentral lists this ribosomal RNA (410 nucleotides) under uncultured bacterium. RNAcentral's name for it is "bacterial SSU rRNA". It matches the Rfam family "Bacterial small subunit ribosomal RNA", at positions 370 to 772 of the family's 1533-position model. The record is from RNAcentral.